Drosophila willistoni is the source of this 1474-nucleotide long non-coding RNA. RefSeq lists it as uncharacterized. The record is from RefSeq and is a predicted model, not a curated record. The transcript is spliced from 3 exons. NCBI's taxonomy places the organism in Eukaryota, Metazoa, Arthropoda, Insecta, Diptera, Drosophilidae.
ACACUUUGCGUUUGCAAUUAUUAAAAAAUGAAAUAAUUGGGCUUUUGGUUUGGUCUAAUUGGAAAUGUGACAAUGAAUCAGCUUGCAGGCAGAAAACGCAUCGCGUUAAUUGCAGAUUUUGGCUCCGGGAAAGGAAAAUAACAACAUGGGAACCCCAAAAAACUCAAAAGUGUAGAAAUGUUUUAAGAAGGCAAAGGAUGGCAAGACACAAACCAAUUGGAAAAGAAUAAGCUCUCUUCCAUUGCAUUCUGCCUUUUAUAAGCAAAACAGAUGAGGAAGCGUCCUACAAACAACAAUGGAUGAUGCACUAGCUGGAUUUGUGGCCACAAGCAUGCAAGCUUUUUUUUUAAUCUUGAGAAGAGCUUCAUCCGCAGUACGGAUUGCCGUACUACAUGGAAACAUGCCCAAAUGGGGAUAAGAUAAGUAGAUACAUACAUAUGUGUCUAACAAUAGGAAGACAGCCUUGCUUUGAAAGCUUAAAUCCAUUGACAAUUUGGCCAUCAACACCGAUUUAUAGACCACUUUGGAAAACAAUUAAUGCAGACUAUUUAAAAACUGUUUUGUUCUUGAAAUCAUCUGCGAAUUCUAUAUGCUUUAAACGGAGAAAGUUCUACAAAAGUAGCGACAGUAUUGCGGGAAAAUAAGCAGAGAUCUUCCCGAACCAGCCAUUGUUUAAACGGAAAAAAUGAAACAUCUAUCAAAAAACUCAAACCAAUAAUAAACCUUUGGAAUAAUAACAAUCGGAUUCUUGAUUAAAAUUAAGACCCUUUAAUAUAUUGAAAGAAUUCCAACAACUACGUGUCAUUUCAAACGCUGGCAAAGAAGUCCACAGAAAGCUGGACCGAUUGUUCAUUCGAAUUCUUCACCCAAAGGGUUUUGCUAGAGUUAUUUGUUCUAAUCGUUCAAGGACCUCAAUCAAUAUGCCAUUAACACAAUUGUUUUAUUUAUGUAUUUUACUUUAAGCCACCAACUAACUACUUGGCAAAUAAUGGUUGCCCCUAUUUGUUUGAAUAUGAUAUUGUUUAAAUAUAUUAAAUAAUUAUAAACAACUAAACUAACUUUGCGACUGACAGGUUUUUCAAUUUAAGAAGACUAAUUUAAGCUAAUCUUUGCGAAAAUUUGAAAUAUUAAUUUUUGAGGUUUAAAUUUGUACUUAAUUAUUGUACUUAAAUUAAGAAUUUGUCAAUAAGAAUGUAAUGGCUUACACUAUGAGCGAAAAAUGACUGAAUUAGAUAUUAGUAAAGUUAAGGGUUAUGACAAUUUUUAAUUCAAUUGUUGGUCAAUCUGCCUAUUUUUCUUAGACUAUACUUUGACCCAUUUCUAAUCGAUUUCUAAAUUUAGUAUACAUAUUAAAAAAAUGAUAUCAAACACUUAAGAAUAUCGAAGUUAAUGGACAAGGAAAACUCAAUUUAGAUGCAAGUCAUUAAUGUGAAGUUCAUUAAUAAUCAGAAUAAAGAGCAAAAACAAAAACUAA